AUACGGAGGGUGCAAGCGUUAAUCGGAAUUACUGGGCGUAAAGCGUACGUAGGCGGUUAUUUAAGUCAGAUGUGAAAGCCCCGGGCUUAACUUGGGAACUGCAUUUGAAACUGGGUAACUAGAGUUUAGUAGAGGGGAGUGGAAUUUCAGGUGUAGCGGUGAAAUGCGUAGAGAUCUGAAGGAACACCAGUGGCGAAGGCGACUCCCUGGACUAAAACUGACGCUGAGGUACGAAAGCGUGGGUAGCAAACAGGAGUAGAUACCCUAGUAGUCC
This 274-nucleotide ribosomal RNA is filed under the name uncultured bacterium. RNAcentral's name for it is "partial 16S ribosomal RNA". It matches the Rfam family "Bacterial small subunit ribosomal RNA", at positions 523 to 796 of the family's 1533-position model. The record is from RNAcentral.